This 482-nucleotide unclassified non-coding RNA is filed under the name Hevea brasiliensis (rubber tree). Lineage: Eukaryota; Viridiplantae; Streptophyta; Magnoliopsida; Malpighiales; Euphorbiaceae. The record is from RNAcentral.
UCCACCUCCACAGAGCAAUCAGACACAGACGAUACCCUCCUAGAAUCCGGAACCACACCGUCUAUAAUCUCAGGAUCAGAGACACAAGCGAAAGCGUAAUCGUCAUAGGAGCCACCCGUGGUAGAAUAAAAUUGAGAGUAGCAAGACCCAUCUUCUGCAUCAGAAAAGCAGGAGUCAUCACUUCCUGUGACGGAACGGCUGUGGCUCCCCUGCUCCAAAUCGAUGUGGGACAUUUCUAAAGCAGACAUUUUUUUGAAAAAUUUUUAAUCUUGAACGAAAGAACUUGCUAAAUGGCACUUGGAUUUUGGGGAAUGAAAAUACUUUUAAUAGUUUGACGCUCUAGGUGAUGUCAAAAUUCAAAACGUUGAAGAAAUGGGUAUUGGAUUAGGUGACCUUGCAAUUCUAUCAGUGCUUGCUUUCACUUAUCAAAACCGAAAGAGCAAAAAGAGAAAAUUAUCAAAUAUUAAUUAUUAAACAAUGCA